GUCACAUACACAGCGAGUCCACAACAUCUUGAAAUUGCACAUCAACACUGAGGACAUGCUGAAAUUUCUGGGACAUGACAACACCAUGUGUAACAUUUUACCAUAUACCAUGAAGGCCUGAGAGAUGAUACUUUGACUGCAACUUCUGUCUCCGUUCCAGGAUCUUAUUACCCUCUGUGCAGUUAACUUGAAGCUUCAGUUAAUUAGCAUCUGUGGUAAUUAGCGGAGUCGUUAAGAGCAUUAUAAUCAAGUUUUCGCCUUUACUCAUUUGACUCCCUGGGGCUGUCAGAGUUUGUCUUUCUCACUUCCUUUUUCACAGCAGGCAGUAUACAUUAUACAUGCUGUGUCACAGAGCUUAUUUUUUUGUGAAAUGGUGAUGCUGAGUUAGUCUGAAAUUAACUCGGUAGUUUCGCAGCAAAGCCAUAUGCAUUGUUUGGCAAAGAAGGUCGCUAUCUGUGAGGCAAAAGCUGACUCUUCUACUGUUGUUCACCUACUGGCUUCCCAUUAAAUCCCUACAUUUCAAUGAU
Poecilia reticulata (guppy) is the source of this 527-nucleotide long non-coding RNA. RefSeq lists it as uncharacterized. Lineage: Eukaryota; Metazoa; Chordata; Actinopteri; Cyprinodontiformes; Poeciliidae. The record is from RefSeq and is a predicted model, not a curated record.